Molecule: ribosomal RNA, 3006 nt
Filed under: Salmonella enterica subsp. enterica serovar Kentucky str. CVM29188
Lineage: Bacteria; Pseudomonadati; Pseudomonadota; Gammaproteobacteria; Enterobacterales; Enterobacteriaceae
Description: bacterial LSU rRNA
Rfam family: Bacterial large subunit ribosomal RNA
Source: RNAcentral
UUAAGCGACUAAGCGUACACGGUGGAUGCCCUGGCAGUCAGAGGCGAUGAAGGGCGUGCUAAUCUGCGAUAAGCGCCGGUAAGGUGAUAUGAACCGUUAUAACCGGCGAUACCCGAAUGGGGAAACCCAGUGUGACUCGUCACACUAUCAUUAACUGAAUCCAUAGGUUAAUGAGGCGAACCGGGGGAACUGAAACAUCUAAGUACCCCGAGGAAAAGAAAUCAACCGAGAUUCCCCCAGUAGCGGCGAGCGAACGGGGAGGAGCCCAGAGCCUGAAUCAGCAUGUGUGUUAGUGGAAGCGUCUGGAAAGGCGCGCGAUACAGGGUGACAGCCCCGUACACAAAAGCGCAUGUGCUGUGAGCUCGAUGAGUAGGGCGGGACACGUGGUAUCCUGUCUGAAUAUGGGGGGACCAUCCUCCAAGGCUAAAUACUCCUGACUGACCGAUAGUGAACCAGUACCGUGAGGGAAAGGCGAAAAGAACCCCGGCGAGGGGAGUGAAAAAGAACCUGAAACCGUGUACGUACAAGCAGUGGGAGCCCCACCACCAAAGCAUUCUCUGGUGUUGAAGGCCCUGCAAAGCAGCAUCGCGGUGGCGGAGCGUCGUUUGCGACGCCCAACACACAAAACAAGCGGUGAGUGCUUUGGGGUGGGGUGACUGCGUACCUUUUGUAUAAUGGGUCAGCGACUUAUAUUCUGUAGCAAGGUUAACCGUAUAGGGGAGCCGUAGGGAAACCGAGUCUUAACCGGGCGUUAAGUUGCAGGGUAUAGACCCGAAACCCGGUGAUCUAGCCAUGGGCAGGUUGAAGGUUGGGUAACACUAACUGGAGGACCGAACCGACUAAUGUUGAAAAAUUAGCGGAUGACCUGUGGCUGGGGGUGAAAGGCCAAUCAAACCGGGAGAUAGCUGGUUCUCCCCGAAAGCUAUUUAGGUAGCGCCUCGUGAACUCAUCUCCGGGGGUAGAGCACUGUUUCGGCUAGGGGGCCAUCCCGGCUUACCAACCCGAUGCAAACUGCGAAUACCGGAGAAUGUUAUCACGGGAGACACACGGCGGGUGCUAACGUCCGUCGUGAAGAGGGAAACAACCCAGACCGCCAGCUAAGGUCCCAAAGUCAUGGUUAAGUGGGAAACGAUGUGGGAAGGCCCAGACAGCCAGGAUGUUGGCUUAGAAGCAGCCAUCAUUUAAAGAAAGCGUAAUAGCUCACUGGUCGAGUCGGCCUGCGCGGAAGAUGUAACGGGGCUAAACCAUGCACCGAAGCUGCGGCAGCGACGCUGAUGCGUUGUUGGGUAGGGGAGCGUUCUGUAAGCCUGUGAAGGUGGCCUGUGAGGGUUGCUGGAGGUAUCAGAAGUGCGAAUGCUGACAUAAGUAACGAUAAAGCGGGUGAAAAGCCCGCUCGCCGGAAGACCAAGGGUUCCUGUCCAACGUUAAUCGGGGCAGGGUGAGUCGACCCCUAAGGCGAGGCCGAAAGGCGUAGUCGAUGGGAAACGGGUUAAUAUUCCCGUACUUGGUGUUACUGCGAAGGGGGGACGGAGAAGGCUAUGUUGGCCGGGCGACGGUUGUCCCGGUUUAAGCGUGUAGGUGUGUGUUCCAGGUAAAUCCGGUUCACUUUAACACUGAGGCGUGAUGACGAGGCACUACGGUGCUGAAGCAACAAAUGCCCUGCUUCCAGGAAAAGCCUCUAAGCAUCAGGUAACAUCAAAUCGUACCCCAAACCGACACAGGUGGUCAGGUAGAGAAUACCAAGGCGCUUGAGAGAACUCGGGUGAAGGAACUAGGCAAAAUGGUGCCGUAACUUCGGGAGAAGGCACGCUGACACGUAGGUGAAGUGAUUUACUCACGGAGCUGAAGUCAGUCGAAGAUACCAGCUGGCUGCAACUGUUUAUUAAAAACACAGCACUGUGCAAACACGAAAGUGGACGUAUACGGUGUGACGCCUGCCCGGUGCCGGAAGGUUAAUUGAUGGGGUCAGCGCAAGCGAAGCUCCUGAUCGAAGCCCCGGUAAACGGCGGCCGUAACUAUAACGGUCCUAAGGUAGCGAAAUUCCUUGUCGGGUAAGUUCCGACCUGCACGAAUGGCGUAAUGAUGGCCAGGCUGUCUCCACCCGAGACUCAGUGAAAUUGAACUCGCUGUGAAGAUGCAGUGUACCCGCGGCAAGACGGAAAGACCCCGUGAACCUUUACUAUAGCUUGACACUGAACAUUGAGCCUUGAUGUGUAGGAUAGGUGGGAGGCUUUGAAGUGUGGACGCCAGUCUGCAUGGAGCCGACCUUGAAAUACCACCCUUUAAUGUUUGAUGUUCUAACGUGGACCCGUGAUCCGGGUUGCGGACAGUGUCUGGUGGGUAGUUUGACUGGGGCGGUCUCCUCCUAAAGAGUAACGGAGGAGCACGAAGGUUGGCUAAUCCUGGUCGGACAUCAGGAGGUUAGUGCAAUGGCAUAAGCCAGCUUGACUGCGAGCGUGACGGCGCGAGCAGGUGCGAAAGCAGGUCAUAGUGAUCCGGUGGUUCUGAAUGGAAGGGCCAUCGCUCAACGGAUAAAAGGUACUCCGGGGAUAACAGGCUGAUACCGCCCAAGAGUUCAUAUCGACGGCGGUGUUUGGCACCUCGAUGUCGGCUCAUCACAUCCUGGGGCUGAAGUAGGUCCCAAGGGUAUGGCUGUUCGCCAUUUAAAGUGGUACGCGAGCUGGGUUUAGAACGUCGUGAGACAGUUCGGUCCCUAUCUGCCGUGGGCGCUGGAGAACUGAGGGGGGCUGCUCCUAGUACGAGAGGACCGGAGUGGACGCAUCACUGGUGUUCGGGUUGUCAUGCCAAUGGCACUGCCCGGUAGCUAAAUGCGGAAGAGAUAAGUGCUGAAAGCAUCUAAGCACGAAACUUGCCCCGAGAUGAGUUCUCCCUGAGACUUAGAGUCUCCUGAAGGAACGUUGAAGACGACGACGUUGAUAGGCCGGGUGUGUAAGCGCAGCGAUGCGUUGAGCUAACCGGUACUAAUGAACCGUGAGGCUUAACCUU